GAACAGAGAGGAAAACAGCAAGGCACUGGGUCCGUGUGAUUCUGUGGGCAGCCAUCCUCCUGCCUGUCCAGCGAAGAGAAGGGAAGGAGGAACAUCUGUGAAACAGUUCAUUCUCUUCUGGGAACAAGGUAUAUUUGCCAGAGGCAUGCUGGUGUCUCUGCCUUUCCCUGACAGAGAGAAAUGGUAUCCCUGCAAACUGCUGACAGAAUCAGAUACUUCCUAACUUCCUCAUUCACUUAACUUUCUUGACGGAGAGCGGGAUGUUGAGCCUACCAAUCUGUCUCAGUGUGUGCUGAGG
Long non-coding RNA from Ailuropoda melanoleuca (giant panda), 298 nucleotides. RefSeq lists it as uncharacterized. The transcript has 3 exons. The record is from RefSeq and is a predicted model, not a curated record. NCBI's taxonomy places the organism in Eukaryota, Metazoa, Chordata, Mammalia, Carnivora, Ursidae.